Molecule: non-coding RNA, 53 nt
Organism: Salmo salar (Atlantic salmon)
Lineage: Eukaryota; Metazoa; Chordata; Actinopteri; Salmoniformes; Salmonidae
Source: Rfam
AAUGCACAAACUGCAAGUCACUUUGGAUAAGAGUGUCUGCUAAAUGACUAAAA